Molecule: non-coding RNA, 319 nt
Organism: Labrus bergylta (ballan wrasse)
Lineage: Eukaryota; Metazoa; Chordata; Actinopteri; Labriformes; Labridae
Source: RefSeq, a predicted model, not a curated record
CUUUGACAACUUUCAGCCAAUAUCUGACUUUUAAAUUUUCGUCCAUGCCAGAGCACAUCAGUGUGACAUCUUCACCAGACUGGACCUCCACAGUCUGAGACUCAGAACUUGAGACAGAGAUCCAACCUGGAACAAACAGAUGAGUGACCGAGAUAUUAAGAGUCAGAACCUGAAGUGUCCUGGAUUCUGUCUUUCUUCAGCAGCUGAGAGACAAAAUAUAACAUCUGACCGAUGACGACCAUCACAAGCAAAAGAGUCAAACCACGCAGGACGACACUCACCAGAGUCGCUGCUCCAUCACACUCUUCAACAAAGAAAG